UUGUACAUUUAGGGAGGCGAGGGGCGCUGAGAUCCCAUCAGAACUUCGAAGUUAAAUGUGCUUGGGCGAGAGUAGUAGUAAGAUGGGUGACCUCUUGGGAAAUCCUCAUGUUGCACCCC
Molecule: ribosomal RNA, 119 nt
Filed under: Ricinus communis (castor bean)
Lineage: Eukaryota; Viridiplantae; Streptophyta; Magnoliopsida; Malpighiales; Euphorbiaceae
Source: RNAcentral